This 292-nucleotide ribosomal RNA is filed under the name uncultured bacterium. RNAcentral's name for it is "partial 16S ribosomal RNA". It matches the Rfam family "Bacterial small subunit ribosomal RNA", at positions 505 to 796 of the family's 1533-position model. The record is from RNAcentral.
GUGCCAGCAGCCGCGGUAACACGUGGGAUCCAAGCGUUAUCCGGAUUUACUGGGCGUAAAGCGCGUGCAGGCGGUUCGGUUAGUUGGAUGUGAAAGCUCCCGGCUCAACUGGGAGAGGCCGUUCAAUACUGCCGGACUAGAGGGCGAUAGAGGGAGGUGGAAUUCCCGGUGUAGUGGUGAAAUGCGUAGAUAUCGGGAGGAACACCAGUGGCGAAAGCGGCCUCCUGGAUCGUCCCUGACGCUAAGAUGCGAAAGCUAGGGGAGCGAACGGGAUUAGAAACCCCCGUAGUCC